Molecule: long non-coding RNA, 13868 nt
Filed under: Medicago truncatula (barrel medic)
Lineage: Eukaryota; Viridiplantae; Streptophyta; Magnoliopsida; Fabales; Fabaceae
Description: long non-coding RNA (MTRU_LNC003692)
Rfam family: MIR5269 microRNA precursor family (bases 6780-6858)
Source: RNAcentral
ACCAACAUGGAGCUUCACAACCCUUUUUCUAAUAUCAUCUUCAUGCUCUCCUUUCUCAUCCUCUUAGUGCUAUUCAAAAUAGUUAAAAGAUGGAGUUUUAACAAUUCCACUACCAAAUUGCCACCUGGACCAUGGGAACUACCCCUCAUAGGAAACUUACAUCAGAUUAUCAGCAGAUCAUUGCCCCAUCACCGCUUCAAAAUUUUGGCUGAUAAAUAUGGACCUUUAAUGCACCUUAAACUAGGAGAGGUACCAUACAUAAUAGUUAGUUCACCAGAAAUUGCCAAAGAGAUUAUGAAAACACAUGACCUUACCUUUAGUGAUAGGCCAAACCUUCUUUUGGCCACAAUAUUAACUUACAAUGCUACUGAUGUUAUAUUCUCUAAAUAUGGAGAACGGUGGAGGCAACUACGAAAGAUAUGUGUUGUAGAGCUAUUAAGUGCAAAGCGUGUCCAAUCAUUUAGGUCCACAAGAGAAGAUGAAGUAUCAAAUCUUGCUACAUCAAUAACUGCAAGUGAAGGAUCAAUUGUUAAUCUCACUCAUAAGAUUUUCUCAAUGACAUAUGGGAUAACAACGCGGGCGGCUUUUGGCAAAAGGAGCAAACACCAGCAAUCGUUUAAAUCAGCAGUAGAGGAAAUAGUAAGUUUGUUGGGAGGCAUUUGUAUUGUUGAUUUGUAUCCUUCUAUUAAAUUGCUUCAAUGCGUGAGUAGGGCGAAGGCCAAAAUGGAAAAACUUCACAAAGAGAUUGAUAUGAUAUUGCAAGACAUUAUCGACGAUCACAAAAGCAUUCACAAGGAAGAUAGCAAUGAAGAAUAUCUAGUAGAUGUUCUUCUCAAGAUUCAACAGGAAAAUUAUCACUCACAACAUCCUUUAACCGAUGACAAUAUAAAGUCAAUCAUCCAGGUUAGUCAACAAUCAAAAGUGUUAGAAAGUUUAUUUCAAAAUUAAAAACUAGUUUAUAAAUUUGCAUAUAUGCUUAGAAGUCAGAUUUCCUAGAGGAAGAAAAUAAGAUUAUCUUGAUUAAUAAUAGUAUUUUGGUGAGAACAUCAUAUUAAUGACUUAACUUUUGUUUAGAGAAAUAGAUCGUGUUAAUGUUAAUCCAUUUGUAGGACAUAUUCGAUGCUGGUACCGAAACAUCGUCAACGACUGUGUUAUGGGCGAUAUCUGAGAUGGUAAAGAAUCCAAAGGUGAUGGAAGAAGCACAAGCUGAGGUAAGAAGAGUUUUUGAUAGGAAGGGGUUUGUGGAUGAGACAGAGUUGCACCAAUUGAUAUACUUAAAAUCUGUGAUCAAGGAAACAAUGAGGCUACAUCCAACCGUACCGUUGUUACUUCCAAGAGAAAGUAGGGAGAGAUGCCAAAUCAAUGGGUAUGAAAUCCCAGCUAAGACAAGGGUCAUGGUUAAUGCUUGGGCUAUUGGAAGAGAUCCAAGGUAUUGGGUUGAUGCUGAAAGUUUUAAACCUGAGAGGUUUGUUAAUAGUCCAAUUGAUUUCAAAGGCACAGACUUUGAAUACAUACCAUUUGGUGCUGGAAGAAGGAUGUGUCCCGGAAUUGCAUUUGCCUUACCCAACGUUGAAUUGCCUCUUGCUAGUUUACUUUACCACUUUGAUUGGAAGCUUCCCAAUAAAAUGAAGAAUGAAGAACUAGAUAUGACCGAGUCAUUUGGGAUUACUGCAGGUAGAAAGCACAAUCUAUGCUUAAUUCCUAUUACUCGUCGUCUUUAAUAUGUAUUGUCUAAGCAAACAAGUUCAGAAACGACGUUCCUAAUAAAAUUUGUAUUGGUUAUCUUUACGUAUAGGUUCACUAUAUGUUGUCUAAAAUUUGUGUAUGAUAUUUGUUCCACAAACAAAUAUAGAAUUUAUGUUGAAAGGAAGUUGCGAACUAUUUGUACAGUAUUGUGUAAUACAUUAACCAGAGAAGAAUCUUUUCCUUGACUGCCAAGGAAGAAAUCCACCUAAAAUCGAUAGCAUAUGAAGAAUGAAGAAGGGUUGUGAGGCAAUCAACAUCACACAAGUAACUUACCUUAAAAAAAUAGAGAAACAAUAAAUCAAUGAGAAGUAAUUAACAAUGCUUAUAUAGGACCAUAAUCAUAAAUAUAUAAAAAUGCUAAAUCCAUAUUAAUGGUUAUGAAAUCUAAUUCUUCCUCUCUGUUAAUCUUGUACUUUACACUAAUAGUGGUAGCUUUCCCUAUAUGGGUCUUAUAACAAUAACAUAAAAAACAUAAUGCUAUGUUCGCCAGUUCAUUUUUACAACAGAAGCAUUUGUAUCAUUAAAUCUAAAUAUGAAAAAGAACAUUCUUGGAGAAUCUUUGCAAAAAGGGUAGAUUAAAGGCUUGUUGAAUCCAAUGAAUUUUCCAGCACCAUUUCAAAGUUUUCAUUUAGUCCAAUGAGAGAUCAACAAUGCAUCAUUUACAAAAAUUGUAUAUUGAGAAUGUGAUAUAUAUAUAUACACGAUGCAAUAAACACUUGCCAACUGUAUUUUGAAAUCUUCGCUAUGCUAUCUCUCGCUGUAAAUAGCAUUUUCCUAUAAUUAAUUUGGCAUAAAAGUCUAAUCAUGAUUAUGUUUCGUGUGAUACAUGAGUGCUUGGAAAGAUUAGUGUUAGGAAAGAGUGAUAUUACAAAUGAGUGAAUCAACCCACUAAUGGGAUGGUUACAACCAUAUAUACUACUACAAGACUAAUACUAAUUGUGUCUAAACUAUAUCUCUAAUAAUUAGUGAUAGUUGAGAUGAAAGUUUUCUCAACUAUCAGAUCUUCUUUCUUAGAUCACCCUUUGAUCUUUACAUAAGAAAAAUGCUAUUUACAGCGAGAGAUAACAUAGCGAAGAUUUCUAGAUACAGUUGGCAAGUGUUUAUUGCAUCGUGUAUUUGUUUACUUCCUAUUUUUCAGCCACACCUCCUUGAAUUGUGUCAAAUAGCACAUUGUGAUUGGCUGCUCUUUAUUCUUGAAGAGAUCGUGAUGUUAUUUUUCUAGAGAUAUAGCAUUGCUCUUAAUUAUGUUCGCAUAGUAGCCCUGUCUCUUUUGAGGCAAGGGCGAGGGUUUGGUUGUUGCUCUCGUAGUUGCACUCUUAUCCUUUGAAGUUGAUAAAUGAAACCAACUUCAAUUGACAACAUAAUGAAAGCUCAACAGACAUAAGCAUAAGGUGUUUUGGAAAGUGGCCAUAGUCCAAAAUUAAUUCAGUUUUUUUUUUUAUUUCUUUUCCGGUAAGAAUGAUUGAUUUGGUGAUAAUGACAUGACAUAUAAUUACAAGUCUAACAAGACCCUAUUUGAAAAAAGAUAGAUUACCAAAUGGAGUGCUGAAAUCACUAGUGUCUUUUGGUUUAACUAUGUAGUGUUACUAUUAAUUUUUACUAUUUUUACACUAAGCUCUUCAAAAUGUUAGUGGAUGAUUUUUUCAUGUGCAUAAUACAAAAAAUAUGAAAUUUGCAUGAGUCAGCCUAAAAUUGAAAGGAUCAAUUUAAUAAGCCCUUGAAGACGGGAAGAUGACAAUCGAGUCUGGCAUGGUGUGCUGCAAUUUAAUUAACUCUUAAUCGCAAAUUAUUAAUGUGAUGGUGUUGUUUGUUUUAUUUUGACUCCACUAAGUACACCUUGUUCUUUAUAUGUGUGUGUCUUUCUACUAAGUUGCUUUGGAUUGGAUGGUAUCAAUAUUUUUUAAGUAUAUGUGCUUAGGUUGUUCUAUUUUUGACCACACAAAGCACACCUUAUGAUUCAUGUGUGUCUUUAUUAAAUUGCUUUGCAUAUAUUAAAAGAAAUAAAAAUAAACAACAGGCACAUGGUUGGUGCAAGGAGAAAAUGUUAUUUAACAUGUCUGCAUUAUAUUGAAAUUGCAAGUGAUCUAAUUUUGAGUGUUUUGCAUAGAAAUCUUCUUUGUCAAGGCACUCUUCAGAUUCUCUAGAUCAAGCUACCAUCAUGGAGCUUCAAAAUCCUUUUUCGAAUAUCAUCUUCAUUCUCUCCUUUCUCAUCCUCUUAGUUCUAUUCAAAAUAGUUCAAAGAUGGAGUUUUAACAAUUCGACUACCAAAUUGCCACCAGGACCAUGGAAACUACCCCUCAUAGGAAACUUACAUCAGAUUAUCAGCAGAUCAUUGCCCCAUCAUCUCUUCAAAAUUUUGGCAGAUAAAUAUGGACCUCUAAUGCACCUUAAACUAGGAGAGGUACCAUACGUAAUAGUUAGUUCACCAGAAAUUGCCAAAGAGAUUAUGAAAACACAUGAUCUCAACUUCUGCGACAGGCCAAACCUUCUUUUGUCCAAUAUAUAUAGUUACAAUGCUACAGACAUUGCCUUCGCUGCAUACGGUGAACAUUGGAGGCAAUUACGAAAGAUAUGUGUUAUAGAGCUAUUAAGUGCAAAGCGUGUACAAUCAUUUAGGUCCAUAAGAGAAGAUGAGGUGUCAAACCUUGUUAAAUCAAUAACUGCAAGUGAAGGAUCAGUUGUUAAUCUCACUCGGAAGAUUUUCUCAAUGACAAAUGGGAUAACAGCGCGGGCAGCUUUUGGGAAAAGGAAUAGACACCAAGAUGUGUUCAUACCAGCAUUGGAGAAAGUAGUGGUGCUAUUAGGAAGAUUUGAAAUUGCAGAUUUGUAUCCUUCUAUUAAAUUGCUUCAAUGGAUGACUAGGGAGAAGACCAAAAUGGAAAAACUUCAUACAGAGAUUGAUAUGAUAGCACAAGACAUCAUCGACGAUCACAGAAGUAUUCACAAGGAAGCAAGCAAUGAUGAAGAUCUAGUAGAUGUUCUUCUCAAGAUUCAACAGGAAAAUUAUCACUCAGAACAUCCUUUAACCGAUGACAAUAUGAAAUCAAUCAUCCAGGUUAGUCUAAACCGAAAGUGUUAGCAAGUUUAUUUCACAAUUUAAAAACUAGUUUACAAAUUUGCAUACGCUUAGAAGUCAGAUUUCUAGAGGAAAAAUAAAUAAGAUUAUCUUGAUUAAUAAUGCUCAUUCCGUCCCUAUAUCUAAGCAGUAAGCACCCUUUUAUUAGAGGGAAAGGGUGCUUACAUACAGGGACGGGGGGAGUAGUAUUUUGGAGAGACGUCAAAUUAAUGACUUAACUAUUGGGUAGCGUUGUAUGUAAUGUUAAUGUUAAUCCAUUUGUAGGACAUGUUCCUUGCUGGUACCGAAACAUCGUCACAGGUUCUGUUAUGGGCGAUGUCUGAGAUGGUGAAGAACCCAAAGGUAAUGGAAGAAGCACAAGAUGAAGUAAGUAGAGUGUUUGAUAAAAAGGAGUAUGUGGAUGAGACAGAGUUGCACCAAUUGAUAUACUUAAAGUCCGUCAUCAAAGAAACAUUGAGGUUGCAUCCCGUUGCACCAUUGUUAGUUCCAAGAGAAAGUAGGGAGAGAUGCCAAAUCAAUGGGUAUGAAAUCCCAGCUAAGACAAGGGUAAUGGUUAAUGCUUGGGCUAUUGGAAGAGAUUCAAGGUAUUGGGUUGAAGCUGAGAGUUUUAAACCUGAGAGGUUUGUUAAUAGUCCAAUUGAUUUCAAAGGCACGGACUUCGAAUUCAUACCAUUUGGUGCUGGAAGAAGGAUGUGUCCAGGUAUUUCAUUUGCCAUACCCAAUGUUGAGCUGCCUCUUGCUAAGUUACUUUAUCACUUUGAUUGGAAGCUUCCCAAUGGAAUGAGCCAUCAAGAACUUGAUAUGACUGAGUUUUUUGGGAUUACUGUAGGUAGAAAACACGACCUAUGUUUAAUUCCUACUACUCGUCGUCUUUAAUGUGUAUUAUCUAAGCAAACAAAUUCAAAAACAAUGUUCCUAAUAAAAUUUGUAAUGGUAAACUUUACAUAUAGGUUUACUAUAUGUCGUCUAAAAUUUGUGUAUGAUUGUACCACAAAUAUAGAAUAUGUGUCCAAGCAUUGCAUUUGGUUUAGCCAAUGUUGAACUGCGUCUUGCUGAAUUACUUUAUGACUUUGAUUGAAAGCUUUCCAAUGGAAUGAAUAAUGAAGAACAGUCGUUUGGGCUGACAGUCGGAAGAAAACACGACCUAUGUUCGUUUCCUAUUACAGGUUGUCUAUAAUAUUUGUAUUGUGCACUGCCUUUCAAAAAGAAAUAUUUGUAUUGUCUAACCAAAGAAGUUCACAAUGUGGUUAAUUAAUUACUUAUACUACUUUCUGCAAGGCGUCGUGUAAUUCGUUGUUCACAUUUUUAUUAAGAUUCUACGUUUGACAUUAGAUAACUUGAAAAUCCUGGGAUUUCUUCGGUUAAUCAGUUUGUUCCAACUCCUUCAUCAAAUCAAGAUAUGCCAAAGCAUUUGCAUCAUUUUGCACGCCUAUUUUAGUAUGUUUAAUUUGUAAGGAUUAAGAUUUCUCUCUCGGUUUUCUAUGUAGGACCACGAGAAAGAUGCAACUAAUUUCAUUUUUGUGUCAUGUCUCACUUGGUUCUCAGCAUUUGCAAACAUGCAUGUCGGUAAGUAUGUACGAGCAUGAAACAUUAUUCUUGUUAUUCAUUGCCUAUCCAAAAUAAAUAAAUAAAAUAGUUUUUGUAUUCUUUAAUGGGAAAUGCUAAUUAACUUGUCUAUUUAUGAAAUCUUUAACAUGAGUCAUAAGGGUACAAGUUAACAAGACCCUUCAUUAAUUUACCAAGCUUGUUUAAUGUUUUAACUUCAGGGGACACACAAGGAAUGCGGUGAAAGGAAUUUAGCAACAAAUUCAAAAUUCUUUGUGCUUUUGUACCCAAAUAAAUAGAUAUGUUUUUUUUACCUGAAAUCAUUAAAAUUUCAGGUAACGAUAAGUUAAUUAUUAAAGGAGUAAUGCUAGCAACACUCUUUUGAACACACUCUUUAAUACUACAUUUCUUAUUGGUUUAAAUCAUUGUGAGUCUACACUUUGAAAAUUGAACCUACACAAAGUGAUGGGACAUACAUUAAUUUCAUCUAAUAAAAGAGUGGAUGCUACAAAGAGUGUUCAAAAAUAAAUGUUUCUAACAUUACUAUUAUUGAUGUGUUGCCUCUUAUCUCAUUUUAAUAAAAAUCUCACCACUAGUUCAUAUACUUUACCACUAGUUUCUCACACUACACAUUCUAACACUAGGGUUUAUAAUAUCAUUCUGAUUCACGAACUAGUUAAAAGAUGUUGUUUUUUCAAGGGCGAGGGUUUGGUUGUUGCUCUCUUAGUUGCACUCUUAUCCUUUGAAGUUGAUAAAUAAAUGAAACCAAUUACUUCGAUUGAUUAUGAAAGCUCAAAAGACAUAAGUAUAAGGUGUUUUGGAAAGUGGCCCAUAGACCAAAAUUAAUUCAGAUUUUUUUUCCGGUAAGGGUGAUUGAUUUGGUAAUAAUGACAUAUAAUUACAAGUCUAGCAAGACCCUAUUUGAAAAUGAUAGAUUACCAAAUGGAGUUUAUCUGAAAUCACUAGUGUCUCUUGGUUUAACUAUGUAGUGCUAUUAUUAAUUCUUACAAAUAAUUUAUUUGACAUAAUGACCGAAGUAAAUAAUACAUUAAGCUCUUCAAAAUGUUUGUGGAUGAUUUUUUCAUGUGCAUAAUACAAAAAAUAUAAUUCCACAAAAAAAUUGAUAGGAUCAAUUCAAUUUAAUAAGCCCUUGAAGGAAGAUGACAAUCGAGUCUGACAUGGCGUGCUGCAAUUUAAUUAACUCUUAAUCGCAAAUUAUUAAUAUGAUGGUGUUGGACGUUUCAUUUUGACUCCACAAAGUACACCUUAUUCUUCAUGUGUGUCUUACUUUUUAUUAAAUUGCUUUGGACUGGUUGUUCUAUUUUUUACCACACAAAGCACACCUUAUGCUUCAUUUGUGUCUUUAUUAAAUUGCUUUGCAUAUAUUAAAAAAUAAUAAUAAACAACAGGCACAUGUUUGGUGCAAGGAGAAAAUGUUAUUUAACAUGUCUGCAUUAUAUUGAAAUUGCAAGUGAUCUAAUUUUGAGUGUUUUGCAUAGAAAUCUUCUUUGUCAAGGCACUCUUCAGAUUCUCUAGAUCAAGCUACCAUCAUGGAGCUUCAAAACCCUUUUUCGAAUAUCAUCUUCAUGCUCUCCUUUCUCAUCCUCUUAGUUCUAUUCAAAAUAGUUCAAAGAUGGAGUUUUAACAAUUCCACUACCAAAUUGCCACCAGGACCAUGGAAACUACCCCUCAUAGGAAACUUACAUCAGAUUAUCAGCAGAUCAUUGCCCCAUCACCUCUUCAAAAAGUUGGCAGAAAAAUAUGGACCUUUGAUGCACCUUAAACUAGGAGAGGUACCAUAUGUAAUAGUUAGUUCACCAGAAAUGGCAAAAGAGGUUAUGAAAACACAUGACCUUACAUUUUGUGAUAGGCCAAACCUUCUUUUGUCAACAAUAUGGAGUUACAAUGCUACAAAUAUUGUCUUCGCUACAUACUGUGAACAUUGGAGGCAAGUACGAAAGAUAUGUGUUAUAGAGCUAUUAAGUGCAAAGCGUGUCCAAUCAUUUAGGUCCAUAAGAGAAGAUGAAGUGACAAAUCUUGUUAAAUCAAUAACUGCAAGUGAAGGAUCGGUUGUAAAUCUCACUCGGAAGAUUUUCUCAAUGACAAAUGGGAUAACAGCGCGGGCAGCUUUUGGGAAAAGGAAUAGAAACCAAGAUGUGUUCAUAUCAGCAAUGGAGAAAGUAUUGGUGCUAUUAGGAGGAUUUGAAAUUGCAGAUUUGUAUCCUUCUAUUAAAAUGCUUCAAUGCAUGAGUAGGGAGAAGACCAAAAUGGAAAAAAUUCAUAGAGAGCUUGAUAUGAUAAUGCAAGACAUCAUCGACGAUCACAGAAGCAUUCACAAGGAAGCAAGCAACGAUGAAGAUCUAGUAGAUGUUCUUCUCAAGAUUCAACAGGAAAAUUAUUACUCAGAACAUCCUUUAACCGAUGACAAUAUGAAAUCAAUCAUCCAGGUUAGUCUAAAACCAAAAGUGGUAGCAAGUUUAUUUCACAAUUUAAAAACUAGUUUAUAAAUUUGCAUAGCUUAGAAGUCUGAUUUCUAGAGGAAAAAUAAUUAGGAUUAUCUUGAUUAAUAAUAGUAAUUUGGAGAGAACAUCAAAUUAAUGACUUAACUUUUGGGUAGCGUUGUACGUAAUGUUAAUGUUAAUCCAUUUGUAGGAUAUGUUCAUUGCUGGUACCGAAACAUCGUCAGAGGUAUUGUUAUGGGCGAUGUCUGAGAUGGUAAAGAACCCAAAGGUAUUGGAAGAAGCACAGAUUGAAGUAAGAAGAGUGUUUGAUAAAAAGGGGUAUGUGGAUGAGUCAGAGUUGCACCAAUUGAUAUACUUAAAGUCUGUCGUCAAAGAAACAUUGAGGUUACAUCCCGUUGCACCAUUGUUAAUUCCAAGAGAAAGUAUGAAGCCAUGCCAAAUUAAUGGGUAUGAAAUCCCAGCUAAGACAAGGGUAAUGGUUAAUGCUUGGGCUAUUGGAAGAGAUUCAAGGUAUUGGGUUGAAGCUGAGAGUUUUAAACCUGAGAGGUUUGUUAAUAGCACAAUUGAAUUCAAAGGCACGGACUUCGAAUUCAUACCAUUUGGUGCUGGAAGGAGGAUGUGUCCCGGAAUUGCAUUUGCCCUACCAAACAUUGAGCUACCUCUUGCUCAAUUACUUUGCCACUUUGAUUGGAAGCUUCCCAAUAAAAUGAAGAAUGAAGAACUAGAUAUGACCGAGUCAUUUGGGAUUACUGUAGGAAGAAAGCACGAUCUAUGUUUAAUUCCUAUUACUCGUCGUCUUUAAUAUGUAUUUUCUAAGCAAACAAGUUCAGAACGAUGUUCCUUAUAAAAUUUAUGUAUGAUAUUUGUACCACAAAUAUAGAAAUAUUUGUCAAGCAUUGCAUUUGGUUUAGCCUCUUGCUGAAUUAUUUUAUGAAUUUGAUUGAAAGCUUCCCAAUGGAAUGAAUAAUGAAGAACUUGAUAUGAUUGAGAGUCAUUUGGGCUUACAGUCCAAAGAAAACACGACCCAUAUGUUUGGUUCCUAUUACUGGUCGUCUACGAUAUUUAUAUUGUCUAAGCAAACAAGUUCACAAUGUGGUUAGUUUUCUUAUACUACUUUCAGCAAGGUGUAUGAAUCGUUGUUGAUUUUUUUUUUUUUUUUAAGAUUCUACGUUUGACAUUAGUUAGAUAUUCAAUUUAGUUCUUCUUAAGUUAAUCAGUUUGUUCCAACUCCUUCAUCAAAUCAACAUAUGCUAAAGCAUUUGCAUUAUUUUGCACGCCUAUUUUAGUAGGUUUAAUUUGUAAGGAUUAAGAUUUCUUUCUUUAUCUCUCUCUUGGUUUUCUGCGUAGGACCAGGAGAAUGAUGCAACAAAUUUAGGGUAUACUGAAUUUCAUUUAAAAAAUGUACAUCCGGAAAAUGUACAUCCGAUAUGUAAUUAUCGGAUGUGUAUUUAGGGUCUAAGAGAUAUUAGGGGACCUAAAGAGAAAUGUUCGAAAUAUUUUGUGCUUUAGAAAGAGGGAAAAAAGAGACAUGAUUAGGCACAAUUUUUUUCAAGAUUUAAUUCUUAAUAUUAUAAGAUGUAUAUGGCGAACAUGCCGGUUUUUGUUCUUCUUUGCAGUUUUUUUAUAAAUUUUUAUUUACACUAUUAUAAAUAUAUCUUUCAUCCAUUGAUCACAAACCACAGUCCUUCUUUUCUUCAAAAAAAAAAAAAAAACGAAACAAACCACGGUCCUUCUUACUCAUCAGUACAUUUUUCUCAUAUCAUAAUUCUCUCUACUUUCAUAUUCUCUAUCAUGUCUUCUCCUUCUCCUCCGCUAAAAACCAUUAAUCAAUUCGAUCAUAUAAAAAAAACCUUUUGAAACAUAUAUAUCUUCAAAAAAAGCAUUAAGAGGGUUGAAGAAUCAACUCAACAAUUUUUUUAUUUAGCUAACGAUCUUACUUGAAAGGUGACUCAUAUUUAUUAUGGGGAGCCUUUGAUCUCAUUGGCAUCUAAUAAACAUUUUGAUUACUAUCGUGAAUAUAAACUACUUGAGACUAACACGGAAGUACAAGACAUGUUUGCGGAACAAGAGUUUGGAUUGAGUGGUGAUACAUGUACCACCCCAUGUGGCAAUACACCCUUUACACCCAUACAAAAUUCUGACACGUGGCAACCUGGACCCCACACAAAUAGAAGAUAAAGUGUGGUUGUGAGAUGAACUUACCAAAAUAUCCCUAAUACAUAGGGUGUAUAAUGAGGUGUAUGAAUAAAGGGUGUUCAUGUAACAUUUUCCGUUUGGAUUAGAACCGCUUUUUUUGUACGUUAAGUCUGAGUAGAUUAUGAUAAGUAUCUACAAUUAACUUAUGUCAUGUUUGUUUAUCUAAUUUAAUGUAUUUGUAUCUUAGCGCAUUAUCUUCAUGUUGUAAUAAGUUUUUCAAUGAAAUUGCAUUCCUCAUUUAUUCUACAUUGUCUAUUAAUGUGUUUAAUUAACAUAAUAAAAAUUAACGAUAGAGAUGAGUUAAACGAUAAUAAUAACUAUAUGAAGAUAAUUUAAAAUAAAAUAAAAUAGAAAGUAAAUUUAAUAUUGGUAUGAGGAAAAUUCGUGCGAAUAUGACUGUUUUGCUGACACAAUCUACAUUUUCUCGGUGUUUUUUCCACAACAUCCAUUUUAGUCCAAAUACGAAUAUUGUUUGGUCGACCAUUCUUUAGUAUUUGUAUGGCGGGUUUGUGGCAAAGCUUGGGACCUUCAUGUGGGGGACAAUAACUCGUAUCGUGGACUAUUUCGAACCUUGUAUUAUGGGUGGCGUAUAGACUCUCGUUUAAACUUAUGUAUAAUGGUUCGGUAGUCAUGAUGAAAGCUAGAACAUGUGGCUAUAAUAUUAGAGCAAGGCAUAUAUGUAAAGCUUGAAAUUUCUCAUAGUCACACAACUCUGCUUACACGUCUACCUUGAAAGAUCUCAUUGACCUUCCCUCCCUAUAUUUGAUUGUUUCACAGACAGAGAAAGUAUAUAUCUAUCGAUCAAAUCAAUCAACUUGAUGAGGGUUGAACUUACCCACGACUUCCCGAAUCACCUUCAUACAGUAUUUCGUAAAUGGCAUAACCCACCCUUACAUACGCCUCAUGUCAUGUGCUCCCUUCAUAGUAGGUUGAUUGAACAAGAGCUGUGUUAUAAAUCCAAUGAACUUUCCAGCACGAUUUUAAAAAAAUAUAUAUAUUUAAACUAUUGAGAGCUCAACAAAGCAGCAAUAAGAAAAGGAAGAAGGAUCCCACGAAUUUGAAAGACAUUUUUGUAUUGUUUGACGUUCACAUGACACCAAAAAUAGCACAAAAAGCACCUUACCCUUUUCUCGAAACCAGUCUACUACCAAAAAUAGCACAAAUAGCACAAGGAAUAGUGGAUGAUUAUUUCAUGUGGAUAAUACAAAAAAUAUAAUUCCACAAAAAAAAAAAAAAAAAGUUUUCUAAACCGCAAAUUAUUAAUAUGAUGUCUGUUCUUGACUUCCAAAGUUUUCUAAAAUGUUCAUAUAAAAAAAAUAAAAAAAUUUCUAAGUAUUUUGAUUUAGCGAUAUGCUUCUUGUGUAGUGGUUGUUUUAUUUUGACUCCACAAAGUACACCUUAUUCUUCAGUGUGUCUUUUUAUUUAAUUAUUUUGGAUUGGAUGGUAUCAAUAUUUUUAAUUAUACGUGCUUUAGGUGUAUUGGAGGAUAUCAUCCAAUGAGGAGCACCUAUUUUUGACCACACAAAGCACACCUUAUCCUUCAUGUGUGUCUUUAUUAAAAUGCUUUGCAAAUAUAUAAAAAUAUUAACAACAGGCACGUUGGUUGGUGCAAGGAGAAAAUGUUAUUAAUAAAUAAUAUUUCUUUACAUUGGAACGUGUAUCUUAAUGUUAAUACUGUAUUGAUUUUAUAUUAGUAUUUGUUGCGUAUUAAUUAACAUGUCUGCAUUGUAUAGAAAUUGCAAGUGAUCUAAUUUUGAGUGUUUUGCAUAGAAACCUUCUUUGUCAACAAGGCCUUUGGAUUCUUUAGAUCAAACAACCAACAUGGAGCUUCAAAACCCUUUUUCGAAUAUCAUCUUCAUGCUCUCCUUUCUCAUCCUCUUAGUGCUAUUCAAAAUAGUUCAAAGAUGGAGUUUUAACAAUUCCACUACCAAAUUGCCACCAGGACCAUGGAAACUACCCCUCAUAGGAAACAUACACCAGAUUAGUGGCAGCUCACCCCCCCAUCACCUCUUCAAAAAAUUGGCAGAAAAAUAUGGACCUUUGAUGCACCUUAAACUAGGAGAGGUACCAUAUGUAGUAGUUAGUUCACCAGAAAUGGCAAAAGAGAUUAUGAAAACACAUGACAUCACAUUUUGUGAUAGGCCAAAUGUUCUUUUACCUAGAGUAUUUACUUACAAUGCUAGAGAUAUUGCUUUCUCUACAUACGGAGAACUUUGGAGACAAUUACGAAAGAUAUGUGUUGUAGAGCUAUUAAGUGCAAAACGUGUCCAAUCUUUUAGUUUCAUAAGAGAAGAAGAGGUGUCCGAUCUUGUUAAAUCAAUAUCUGCAAAUGAAGGAUCAAUCGUUAAUCUCUCUAAGUCGAUUUUCUCAAUGACUUAUGGGAUCGUGGCACGUUCAGCGUUUGGGAAAAAGAACAGACACCAACAAUUGUUCAAAUCAACAAUAGAGGAAGCAUUGGGCCUAUUGGGAGAAUUUUGUAUUGCUGACUUGUAUCCUUCUAUUAAAAUACUUCAAAAGGUAAGUAGAGUGAAGACCAGAGUUGAGAGAUUACAAGGAGAGAUUGAUAGGAUAUUGCAAGACAUCAUCAAUGAUCAUAGAAACAAUCACAGUAAAACAAGCAAGGAUGAAGACCUAGUUGAUGUUCUUCUCAAGGUUCAACAUGAAAAUGUUCACUCACAACAACCCUUGACUGAUGAAAAUAUAAAAUCAGUCAUUCAGGUUAGUUUACUCACAAUUUAAAUACUAAUAUUUUGAAGAAGAUAUCAAAUUAAUAACCUAUUUUCUUCCAUUACCAUUUGCAGGACUUGUUCAUUGCUGGCAGCGAAACAUCGUCAGGAAUUGUG